AUAUUCUGCCCUAUGAAAAUUUAAAUGGCUGCAGUAUUUUAACUGUACAAAGGUAGCAUAAUAAUUAGUCUUUUAAUUGAGGACUGGAAUGAAAGAUUAAAUGAGAAAUUUAUUUUAUUUUUUUUAAUUUUUUAAUUUUAUUUUUAGGUAAAAAAGCUUAAUUUUUCUUUUGGGACGAAAAGACCCUAUAGAACUUUAUUAUAACUAAUUUAAUUUAAAUAAGUUUUUAUAAUUAAUUUGUUUAUAAUUUUGUUGGGGUGACAGAUAAAAUAAACUUUAUUUUUGUAUUUCAUUUAUUUGUGAUUAUUAUGAUUUAAAAUUUAAUUACAAGAUUAAGUUACCUUAGGGAUAACAGCGUAAUUUUUAUGGGGAGUUCAUAUCUAUAUAAAAGUUUGCGACCUCGAUGUUGAAUUAAGAUUAAUUAAUGAAGAAGUAUUUGUUUAUAUUAAGUCUGUUCGACUUUUAAAUUCUU
This 472-nucleotide ribosomal RNA is filed under the name Eurhadina cuii. RNAcentral's name for it is "partial 16S ribosomal RNA". The stretch from base 348 to 472 matches the Rfam family "Bacterial large subunit ribosomal RNA", at positions 2473 to 2597 of the family's 2925-position model. Lineage: Eukaryota; Metazoa; Arthropoda; Insecta; Hemiptera; Cicadellidae. The record is from RNAcentral.